Molecule: ribosomal RNA, 1450 nt
Filed under: Biston panterinaria
Lineage: Eukaryota; Metazoa; Arthropoda; Insecta; Lepidoptera; Geometridae
Description: 16S ribosomal RNA
Source: RNAcentral
AAUUUAAGAAUUAAUAAAUUUAUAUUUAAUAAAAAUAAUUUUAAUUUAAUAAAUAUUUUAAUGGGGGUUAAAGUAUUUUUUAAAGAAAAAAUUUUUAAUUUUAUAGUAUAAUAGUAUUGUGUAAGAAUUUUGAAAUAAUUGAAAAUUUAAUUUUAAUAAAGUAAUUUUUAUUUGGUGUAUCUUGUGUAUCAGAGUUUAUUAAAAAUUUUUAAUUUUUAAAUUAAUUUCUCGAAUUUAAAAGAGUUAAGUAAUUAUUAAAUUUAUUGUUGCAAAAAUAUUUUAAAUAAUUAUUUAGAAAUGAAAUGUUAAUCGUUUUUAAAUAUAUCUAGUUUUUAUAGAAAAAAUUUUAAUUUUAAAUUUAAUUUUAUUAUUUAAUUAAUUAAUUAAUUAGAUAAUUAUUUAAAUUUUAUAUUUUAAGGGAUAAGCUUUAAAUUAAAUUUUUAUAAUAAAAAAAUAUUUAUUUUUGAAAAUUUUAUAAUUUAUAUUGUUAAUAAAUUUUAUUUUAUUAUAAAUAAUUUCAUUUUGUUAAAAAAUUUAAAUUUUUAUUUAAUUUUUUAUAUAAAAUUUAUUUUUAAUUGUUAAAAAUUAAUUAUAAUGAUAAAAUUAGUAUAUUAUAUUUUAAAAAUUAUUUUUAAUUUGAGUUUUUAUUAUUUAAUUUAAUUAAUUAAAAGGAAUUCGGCAAAUAUUUAUUUUCACUUGUUUAUCAAAAACAUGUCUUUUUGUUGAUUUAUUUAAAGUUUAAUUUGCCCCCUGAUUUUAAUUGAAGGGCUGCAGUAUUUUGACUGUACAAAGGUAGCAUAAUCAUUAGUCUUUUAAUUGGUGACUUGUAUGAAAGAUUGGAUGAGAAAUAUACUGUCUCUUAAUUAAUAUAUAGAAUUUAAUUUUUUAUUUAAAAAGUUAAAAUAAAUUAAAAAGACGAGAAGACCCUAUAGAGUUUAAUAAAUUUUUUUUUAUGAUAACUUUAUUUGUAUUAAAUUGAAAUAAUUUUAUAAAUUUAUUUAUUUUAUUGGGGUGAUAGAAAAAUAAAUUUAACUUUUUUUAAAAAAUUUAACAAAAAUAUAUGAUUAAAUGAUCCAGUUUAUUAUUGAUUAAAAGAUUAAAUUACCUUAGGGAUAACAGCGUAAUUUUUUUUUUUAGUUCGAAUAAUAAAAAAAGUUUGCGACCUCGAUGUUGGAUUAAGAUAAAAUUUAAAUGUAAAAGUUUAAAAUUUUUGAUCUGUUCGAUCAUUAAAAUCUUACAUGAUCUGAGUUCAAACCGGUGUAAGCCAGGUUGGUUUCUAUCUUUUAAAAAAAUUAUAUAUUUUAGUACGAAAGGAUCAAAUAUUUUAAUUAAAUUAUAGGUAAUUAAUGAAUUUUAUUAAGUUUUGUUUAAUUUUUAAAUUGUUUUUAUUAUUAAUUUAUUUUUAUUAAAAAUUAUAUGAUGAAUAAUAAUAUGUAAUUUUAAUGCUAUU